This 200-nucleotide long non-coding RNA is filed under the name Lathyrus oleraceus (garden pea). RNAcentral's name for it is "Pisum sativum (pea) long non-coding RNA (PSAT_LNC026723)". The record is from RNAcentral. Lineage: Eukaryota; Viridiplantae; Streptophyta; Magnoliopsida; Fabales; Fabaceae.
CCGUUGGCAUCUAGUUGUGGUUUCUUUUCCCAUUCAUCGUCGUUGCGAUGUCUGGAUGUGGUCGUACCCUUUGAAAACAAAAAACAAAAUACCUAGUAAUAAGUAUCAGAUCCCAGUGGACGUUUCCAUUGGUGGAUCCCUGUAUUGUGCAAAUUCUACGGUUCUUGGUAUUCAAUCCCUGUUUACCCUGAAAGUCUGAC